This 400-nucleotide long non-coding RNA is filed under the name Felis catus (domestic cat). RNAcentral's name for it is "lncRNA (ENSFCAG00000042314.2)". Lineage: Eukaryota; Metazoa; Chordata; Mammalia; Carnivora; Felidae. The record is from RNAcentral.
AUGAUCUCCAUGACAAGUGGGUCCCAGCAGAAAGAAGAAUGUCUUCACCUCACUGGCUCUCCAAUGAUGCCAUCAACACUUGCUUCUUUAAGUUGCCUGACAACGUGGCCUAGAAGCACUGUCUCCCUGGGAACUGCCAGCUCCGAGGUAAGGAUUGGGUGCUCUGGAGGGCAUAGAGGGCACUCCCUGUCUCUGUGCCUGGCAGCCUGGCUCAGUGUGGGUUCUGGAGCCCAACUCCUCACUUCAAAUUCUGGCUCCAUUAUUUACAACUCAUGUGCCCAUGAGCAAGUUAUUCAGCCCCUCCGUGCCUCCGUUUCCUCAUCUGUAAGAUUGGGCUAAUACUAUCUUCAUAUGGUUAGUGAGGGUGUAAUAAAAUGAUGCACAUAAAAUGCUUAGAACA